GACAGAGGGGGCAAGCGUUGCUCGGAAUCACUGGGCGUAAAGGGCGCGUAGGCGGGAUGGCAAGUCGGACGUGAAAUCCUUCGGCUCAACCGAAGAACGUCGGCCGAUACUGCCGUUCUUGAGGGAUGCAGAGGAGAUUGGAAUUCCCGGUGUAGCGGUGAAAUGUGUAGAGAUCGGGGGGAACACCGGUGGCGAAGGCGGGUCUCUGGGCAUCUCCUGACGCUGAGGCGCGAAAGCGUGGGGAGCAAACGGG
This 253-nucleotide ribosomal RNA is filed under the name uncultured bacterium. RNAcentral describes it as "partial 16S ribosomal RNA". It matches the Rfam family "Bacterial small subunit ribosomal RNA", at positions 524 to 776 of the family's 1533-position model. The record is from RNAcentral.